This 245-nucleotide long non-coding RNA is filed under the name Chrysemys picta bellii (western painted turtle). RNAcentral's name for it is "lncRNA (ENSCPBG00000005494.1)". The record is from RNAcentral. Lineage: Eukaryota; Metazoa; Chordata; Testudines; Emydidae.
CAGUCUCUGAUGUGCUGUUGACUGCAGCUGGAAAAUCGACUGAAGCAAGAGGAUCAUGUGAUUGAAGUUCAAAGUGCAAGCAUGAGAUAAUCAUAGAGAAAACGGAAAUGAAAACUAGUGAGCAGGAACAGCAGUCAUGGGAGUUGUCCAGGUGAAGAAGGAGCAACUACGUGACCUUUGAGGCAUGUGACUCCCAUUGGCAAUUAUCCAGGCACACUGAUGGCUAUAAUGUAGAUGCUGUGAUG